CAGCAGCCGCGGGAAUACGUAGGUCCCGAGCGUUGUCCGGAUUUAUUGGGCGUAAAGGGAGCGCAGGCGGUUUAGUAAGUCUGAAGUUAAAGGCAUUGGCUCAACCAAUGUAUGCUUUGGAAACUGUUAGACUUGAGUGCAGAAGGGGAGAGUGGAAUUCCAUGUGUAGCGGUGAAAUGCGUAGAUAUAUGGAGGAACACCGGUGGCGAAAGCGGCUCUCUGGUCUGUAACUGACGCUGAGGCUCGAAAGCGUGGGGAGCAAACAGGAUUAGAUACCCCCGUAGUCCCUGUCUCUUAUACA
RNAcentral lists this ribosomal RNA (301 nucleotides) under uncultured bacterium. RNAcentral's name for it is "partial 16S ribosomal RNA". It matches the Rfam family "Bacterial small subunit ribosomal RNA", at positions 509 to 808 of the family's 1533-position model. The record is from RNAcentral.